UAUCUUUGUAACAAAUAUGGUGGAAUUUUUCAUUUUUUGAGAAAUCCUUAAUAUGGGAAUCCGGUGCGAUACCGGAGCUGUACCCGCAGCUGUAAGCCUUAAAAAGCUUUUUCAACCCUCGCCACUGUCAUAAUUUAGUUGAUGGGAAGGCACGAAAAAGUAAGGUGAGCCAGAAGACCUGCCAAAUUUGAUUUUUAAAA
RNAcentral lists this non-coding RNA (200 nucleotides) under Bacteroidota bacterium. Lineage: Bacteria; Pseudomonadati; Bacteroidota. The record is from RNAcentral.